This 504-nucleotide long non-coding RNA is filed under the name Chrysolophus pictus (golden pheasant). RNAcentral describes it as "lncRNA (ENSCPIG00010000435.1)". The record is from RNAcentral. Lineage: Eukaryota; Metazoa; Chordata; Aves; Galliformes; Phasianidae.
AUGGGAGCGGUGAAUCAGCAGCGCCCGAGGCGGCAGCGGGCAGAGCCGUGCGCAGGCUGCGAGCGGGGGGCGGAGGUUUUGCACUCCUCUCUCCCGCCGUGGAUAAAUAGCGGCGGCACGGGCAGCGCGAAGCUCCAGCCCCAGCACUGUCGUCCCACGGUCGCAUCAUGGACUCCCAGGACUGCCCUUGUGCCACCGGCGGCACGUGCACGUGCGGGGACAACUGCAAAUGUAAAAACUGCAAAUGCACAUCGUGCAAAAAAGGCUGCUGCUCCUGCUGCCCUGCAGGAUGUGCCAAGUGUGCACAGGGCUGUGUCUGCAAAGGACCCCCCUCUGCCAAGUGCAGCUGCUGCAAGUAGUGGCCCCCCCCCCCCGCCACGCUGAGGAAAACUAACCUUAUUGUAUGUGUUUUUUUAUAUGUACAUUCGGAUCGUGUCAGUGUUCAGCACGUGUGCCAUGAGCUCCCUGAAUAAAGCUGUGUGUAACUUUAUAACUGCGCCUCUG